Molecule: long non-coding RNA, 200 nt
Filed under: Brassica napus (rape)
Lineage: Eukaryota; Viridiplantae; Streptophyta; Magnoliopsida; Brassicales; Brassicaceae
Description: long non-coding RNA (BNAP_LNC011379)
Source: RNAcentral
CUUCCAACUAUAUCCUUAAAAACCGUAGAAUUUAGGUCUAGGACUUGCUAAAGGGACUAUGAUCUGGAUGUAAUUUUGUCUCGGAAGUCCCUUCAAGAAUUUCUUCACCAUCUUGGACUCUUCUAUGUUAUCUCCUAACGAGGCUGCUUUGGAGGGUAGGCCCGAUAUAUUUACCGCAAAGUCAUCGACCGUAUCAUUAU